AAUUUUGCGCAAUGGGCGAAAGCCUGACGCAGCCAUGCCGCGUGUAUGAUGAAGGUCUUAGGAUUGUAAAAUUCUUUCACCGGGGACGAUAAUGACGGUACCCGGAGAAGAAGUCCCGGCUAACUUCGUGCCAGCAGUCGUGGUAAUUCGAAGGGGGCUAGCGUUGCUCGGAAUUACUGGGCGUAAAGGGUGCGUAGGCGGAUCGUUAAGUCAGGGGUGCAAUCCCGGGGCUCAACCUCGGAACUGCCCUUGAUACUGGCGAUCUUGAGUAUGGGAGAGGUAUGUGGAACUCCGAGUGUAGAGGUGAAAUUCAUAGAUAUUCGGAAGAACACCAGUGGCGAAGGCGACAUACUGGCUCAUUACUGACGCUGAGGCGCGAAAGCGUGGGGAGCAAACA
RNAcentral lists this ribosomal RNA (397 nucleotides) under uncultured bacterium. RNAcentral's name for it is "partial 16S ribosomal RNA". It matches the Rfam family "Bacterial small subunit ribosomal RNA", at positions 360 to 774 of the family's 1533-position model. The record is from RNAcentral.